This 2421-nucleotide unclassified non-coding RNA is filed under the name Hevea brasiliensis (rubber tree). The record is from RNAcentral. Lineage: Eukaryota; Viridiplantae; Streptophyta; Magnoliopsida; Malpighiales; Euphorbiaceae.
AAUAUAGGAGCUGUCACAAUUCCCUACAAAAAAUUAUCAUAUUUCUGAACAAAUUAUUAUGACUAAAAAUUAUCAAAUUUCUUCAAGCAUGAUUAUACUAACCAAAUUGAUUUACAAAGACUAAUGCUAUUCAAUUAGGCUAACAAUAUGUGCAGUAAUCAAAUUGAAUUCAAGUAUAAUGCAAAGACACCUCUAUUUAAUGUGAAGUUCUCUCUUUAUAAACAAAGAGUAAAAUUGGAACAUAAGCACAUUCCUUUUACCUUUUAAUUGUUCCAAAAAAUAGAAUUGAAACCAAUCAUCCAAAUUGAAUUGAAUUCAUCAUACUAACUUUUCCAAAUAGAGUGUUUGGAUGAGUAAGCAAAGUUGCUUCAGUUUUGGCUUAUACAAAUGAAAAUGCUCACUGAAAAUGCAAAAAUAAUAUUUUUUGCCUUCAACAAGCCUGUUGACCAUAUCCGAGCUUAGAAGUUAAAAACCAGCUAGUAUUUCCAUCAUUCAGAUAUCAUAUCAGGGAUAGACGGAUUACAUGUCGAAUGUCGGAUAAUGAACCCUUUCCAAGUGAAGCAGAUGUGCCUGUGAAAUCAAGGACAUCAUCUAUCAACUGAAAUGCCAAUCCCAGAUUUUUGCCAUACUCAAAAGCCAACAUUGCAACUUCUGUUGUUUGCCCAGCAAGAAGGGCAAUGGCUUUGCAGCUGUUUGAAAUCAAAGAUGCAGUCUUGUAGUAUGUCUUUUGCAUAUAGUGAUCCAUGCUACAACGUUGCUCUGAUGUACUAGUCAUCUGCAUGGUUUCACCUGUCACAAGAUGCUCUACAACUGUCGCUAAAAGUGAAACAACCUCGGUGUUUUUCAAAGAAGCAAGGGCUACACAAGCUCGUGAAAGCAGAAAAUCCCCUGCUAAUACUGCUACCUUAUUGCCCAUGACAAAAUUUAAAGAACCAAUACCACGUCUAGUGUCUGCAUCAUCCAGAACAUCAUCAUGGAGGAGACUUGCCACAUGGAUCAUUUCUGUAAUUUCAGCUAUGCAUUGCUGUCUCGUACGCAGUUCCGCACCCAAAGUGUCUCCAACACCAUUUGGCAUAGGUUCAUGUAUGUGCACAUUUAAAGCUGUAGCCAUCAGCAACAAUACCGUGGGACGAAACCUCUUUCCUUCUACUCCCAUUUUGAAGAAGUAUUCAGCAGCUGAGGCAAGCUUAGGAACCUCAGCAACUACCAUAGCCCGUAACCUAUUAGCAAGGAGUGAUAGUUCAUCAGCAACAAGUGAGAACGGAUCAAGUGGCUCCUCAAUCAAGGAACUGCUCUGGUGAUGAAUUUGCUGUUUGAAGCCAUGCAGGGCAGAAAAACUCCAAGAAAAAGUUUCUCUGCGAUUGAAGACCUACUAAUCAACAGAAACAUUCAAAAUAUAAUUGUUAAUGCAUAUGUAGGACAACCAUAAAUCUCCACCAUCCGUCAAAAACAUGAAGAUAAAAGAAAAGAUUGACUAGAUAAAUGCCCCUGCAAUUUCUAUAAAUCCCAAAUUCCCAAUUGCAAAAAGCUCAAUUCCGGUCUCCAAAUAUCCCUCGCAAUUCAUCAUUUUAACUUACUCCCAACAGAGAAAUAUGAUAAUAAGAGAUGCAUUACACCAUGCAGCACCCAAAAACUAUAAUUGUUAUCUUGCACACGCUCAAGUUAAAUAAUUAGUCAGUAAAUCAGAUGAAUGAAAUAAUUUUCAUUCCCAAAUCGUGUCACUAAGCAUCCAUUUGGUCUACACCAUAUCUUGCUUGCACCUGUAAAACAACUAAUUGAGCUUCAAUUCAAGCAGAUAAAACAGUUUCCCAUUUAAAUUUACAACUAAAUCCAGUUAAGAAUAACCCAAUAAACACUUGUUUGAUGACUACCAAUAAAGAGACCCACCACCAGAUUAGCACCUCCAUGAUAACUCACACCUUCAGACGAUCAUUUUAAGCUCAACCCAUCACUUCGUUUCCUGAUUUUAAGCUCACAGCUUCUUUAACAGCUACACGUUCUCCUCCAGUCUUCCUUAAAACCCCAAAAAAAUAAAAAUAAAAAUCUAAUCGUCCGCCGCCGCCGCCACCGAAAAAAAAAGGAACAGCUCCGUUUGGUUGCAAAUGAACAUUUAAGAACCCAUUAAUAACAACUUAAAACCCAGUAAUAUUCCUCUUUCUGAAUUCGUUUUUCUCCGCAAUCAUACAGUCCAAAACAGAAAGGGCGAAAAGGUCAACUGCAAUGCAUUAUUACCUUAUGAGUAUAGUCUCCAAGAAGUUGGGAACUAUUUGAUAUAAGAAACGGGUCUAAUUGACGAGAGAGAAACAAACGACGGCCGUUUCUCGAAAUCUGAGAGACACACCGCAAGAAUUGCAUCGCCGCCAGUCUUUCUUAGUGCAGCCACCCAAGGGAAACAAACAGAUCGCGAGCGAGAGACUGUGU